CAGACUUGUGAGUCCUGAGACUUUAUUUUAACCCACAGUUUAUAACCUCAAAAUAGUCCAACCCAGGCAAGUCAAGUUGUUUUUAGAAGAAGAAAGUUCUCCAGAAACCUAAAAAUCCCCUAUCUUUCAGUUCCCAAGUGUUCCAUCAUUGAAGUCACAAUUCCCAUAUUUAUUACAUGAGAAUCAUAUCUGGUUUUCAUUUCACGCUCUCAGUUUAGCCAGCUGGGGUGAGACUUUGUACAAUAUGGAUUAACUCUUGACUGAGAUGGAAUAAGAAUCAUGACUGAGAAAAAAAAUUAUUUUAGGAAACUUAACACCCAGCAUAUCACCUGGGACCCAUGUUGGAAUUUACUCUGCAUAUUUAA
RNAcentral lists this long non-coding RNA (365 nucleotides) under Bos taurus (domestic cattle). RNAcentral describes it as "long non-coding RNA NONBTAT000161". The record is from RNAcentral. Lineage: Eukaryota; Metazoa; Chordata; Mammalia; Artiodactyla; Bovidae.